GACGAACGCUGGCGGCGUGCUUAACACAUGCAAGUCGAACGGAAAGGCCCUGCUUUUGUGGGGUGCUCGAGUAGCGAACGGGUGAGUAACACGUGAGCAACCUGCCCUUGACUUUGGGAUAACUUCAGGAAACUGGGGCUAAUACCGGAUAGGAGCUCCUGCUGCAUGGUGGGGGUUGGAAAGUUUCGGCGGUUGGGGAUGGACUCGCGGCUUAUCAGCUUGUUGGUGGGGUAGUGGCUUACCAAGGCUUUGACGGGUAGCCGGCCUGAGAGGGUGACCGGCCACAUUGGGACUGAGAUACGGCCCAGACUCCUACGGGAGGCAGCAGUGGGGAAUAUUGCACAAUGGGCGGAAGCCUGAUGCAGCAACGCCGCGUGCGGGAUGACGGCCUUCGGGUUGUAAACCGCUUUCGCCUGUGACGAAGCGUGAGUGACGGUAAUGGGUAAAGAAGCACCGGCUAACUACGUG
This 468-nucleotide ribosomal RNA is filed under the name uncultured bacterium. Its description in RNAcentral is "partial 16S ribosomal RNA". It matches the Rfam family "Bacterial small subunit ribosomal RNA", at positions 28 to 507 of the family's 1533-position model. The record is from RNAcentral.